UAAAUACUACCUGAUGACCGAUAGAGGAGCAGUACCGUGAGGGAAAGGUGAAAAGAACCCCGGGAGGGGAGUGAAAUAGUACCUGAAACCGUAUGUCUACAAGCAGUCGGAGCGAAAGCGACGGCGUGCCUAUUGAAGAAUGAACCAACGAGUUAUCUGCACUAGCGAGGUUAAGUGGAAGACACGGAGCCGUAGCGAAAGCGAGUCUGAAAAGGGCGGAUAGUUAGUGUAGGUAGACCCGAAACCGCAGUGAUCUACCCAUGUCCAGGUUGAAGCGCAGGUAAAAAUGCGUGGAGGACCGAACCGGUGAGCGUUGAAAAGCUUUCGGAUGAGAUGUGGGUAGGGGUGAAAUUCCAAUCGAACGCGGAGAUAGCUGGUUCUCCCCGAAAUAGCUUUAGGGCUAGCCUCAGGUAGUAAGUAUAGGCGGUAGAGCACUGAUCGGGCUAGGGGCCAUAAAGGUUACCGAACCCUGUCAAACUCCGAAUGGAUAUACUGCAGAGCCUGGGAGUCAGACUACGAGUGAUAAGAUCCGUGGUCAAAAGGGAAACAGCCCAGACCACCGGCUAAGGUCCCAAAUGCCGUACUAAGUGGAAAAGGAUGUGGGGAUUCAUAAACAACCAGGAUGUUGGCUCAGAAGCAGCCAUCAUUUAAAGAGUGCGUAAUAGCUCACUGGUCGAGAGUCCCUGCGCCGAAAAUUUCCGGGGCUAAAGUACGGAACCGAAGCCGUGGCUGUGCAUGUAAGUGCACGGGGUAGGGGAGCGUUGCCACAGGGGUGAAGCUGGUCUGGAAGGACUGGUGGACUUGUGGGAAGUGAGAAUGUUGGUAUGAGUAGCGAAAAGAAAGGUGAGAAUCCUUUCCACCGAAAGCAUAAGGAUUCCUGAGCAACGAUCGUCGUCUCAGGGUAAGUCGGGACCUAAUCCGAGGCAAAGAGCGUAGGAGAUGGACAACAGGUUGAUAUUCCUGUACCGGCAGCAAUUGUUUGAGCGAAGGAGUGACACAGAAGGGCAGGCAGGCGCGAGACUGGAUUGUCGCGUGCAAGCGUGUAGGGUAGUGUACAGGCAAAUCCGUACACUGAAAGCCUGAGGCGUUACGCGGAGCGAGCAGAGAUGCGAGCGAAGCUGCUGAUCCCACACUGUCGAGAAAAGCUUCUAGUGAGAGAGCUGCCGCCCGUACCGUAAACCGACACAGGUAUGCGGGGAGAGAAUCCUAAGGUGCGCGGGAGAACCCUCGUUAAGGAACUCGGCAAAAUGUACCCGUAACUUCGGGAUAAGGGUAGCCGUCUUGGUGAAAGAGCUUGCCUCUGGAGCUAAAGGCGGUCGCAGAGAAGAGGCCCAAGCGACUGUUUACCACAAACACAGGUGCCUGCUAAAGCGAAAGCUGACGUAUAGGUGCUGACACCUGCCCAGUGCUGGAAGGUUAAGGAAGGAUGUCCGGGCAACCAAAGCAUUCGACCGAAGCCCCAGUGAACGGCGGCCGUAACUAUAACGGUCCUAAGGUAGCGAAAUUCCUUGUCGGGUAAGUUCCGACCCGCACGAAAGGUGUAACGAUUUGGGCACUGUCUCAACGAGGGACCCGGUGAAAUUGAAAUACCUGUGAAGAUGCAGGUUACCCGCGACUGGACAGAAAGACCCCAUGGAGCUUUACUGUAACCUGACAUUGGGUUUUGUUGUAUUACGUACAGGAUAGGUGGGAGGCUUGGAAGGCUGGACGCUAGUCUGGCUGGAGCCGGCGUUGGGAUACCACCCUUGAUACAACGGAAUUCUAACCGAGAGAGUAACGAAAUCCGGGACAGUGUCAGGCGGGCAGUUUGACUGGGGCGGUCGCCUCCGAAAGAGUAACGGAGGCGCCCAAAGGUUCCCUCAGCGCGGCCGGAAAUCGCGCGAAGAGUGUAAAGGCAGAAGGGAGCUUGACUGCGAGCCAAACACGGCGAGCAGGUACGAAAGUAGGGCUUAGUGAUCCGGUGGUACCGAGUGGAAGGGCCAUCGCUCAACGGAUAAAAGCUACCCUGGGGAUAACAGGCUAAUCUCUCCCAAGAGUCCAUAUCGACGGGGAGGUUUGGCACCUCGAUGUCGGCUCAUCACAUCCUGGGGCUGAAGUCGGUCCCAAGGGUUGGGCUGUUCGCCCAUUAAAGUGGUACGUGAGCUGGGUUCAGAACGUCGUGAGACAGUUCGGUCCCUAUCCGUCGCAGGCGUAGGAAAUUUGAGAGGAGCUGUCCUUAGUACGAGAGGACCGGGAUGGACUGACCUCUGGU
RNAcentral lists this ribosomal RNA (2251 nucleotides) under human gut metagenome. Its description in RNAcentral is "bacterial LSU rRNA". It matches the Rfam family "Bacterial large subunit ribosomal RNA", at positions 467 to 2713 of the family's 2925-position model. The record is from RNAcentral.